AACUUUGUAGUAUAAAAAUAACGCUAAAUUGCAAGUUUAGAGAUGUGUGUAUCACCGGGGUUU
RNAcentral lists this transfer RNA (63 nucleotides) under Opecarcinus hypostegus. Its description in RNAcentral is "tRNA-Cys". Lineage: Eukaryota; Metazoa; Arthropoda; Malacostraca; Decapoda; Cryptochiridae. The record is from RNAcentral.